This 214-nucleotide ribosomal RNA is filed under the name uncultured bacterium. Its description in RNAcentral is "partial 16S ribosomal RNA". It matches the Rfam family "Bacterial small subunit ribosomal RNA", at positions 29 to 245 of the family's 1533-position model. The record is from RNAcentral.
ACGAACGCUGGCGGCGUGCUUAACACAUGCAAGUCGAGCGGUAAGGCCCUUUCGGGGUACACGAGCGGCGAACGGGUGAGUAACACGUGGGUGACCUGCCCUCAGCUCUGGGAUAAGCCUGGGAAACCGGGUCUAAUACUGGAUAUGACUCCAUGACGCAUGUUGUGGGGUGGAAAGCCUUGUGCGGCUGAGGAUGGGCCCGCGGCCUAUCAGC